UUAAGCGACUAAGCGUACACGGUGGAUGCCCUGGCAGUCAGAGGCGAUGAAGGACGUGCUAAUCUGCGAUAAGCGUCGGUAAGGUGAUAUGAACCGUUAUAACCGGCGAUUUCCGAAUGGGGAAACCCAGUGUGAUUCGACACACUAUCAUUAACUGAAUCCAUAGGUUAAUGAGGCGAACCGGGGGAACUGAAACAUCUAAGUACCCCGAGGAAAAGAAAUCAACCGAGAUUCCCCCAGUAGCGGCGAGCGAACGGGGAGCAGCCCAGAGCCUGAAUCAGUGUGUGUGUUAGUGGAAGCGUCUGGAAAGGCGCGCGAUACAGGGUGACAGCCCCGUACACAAAAAUACACAUACUGUGAGCUCGAUGAGUAGGGCGGGACACGUGGUAUCCUGUCUGAAUAUGGGGGGACCAUCCUCCAAGGCUAAAUACUCCUGACUGACCGAUAGUGAACCAGUACCGUGAGGGAAAGGCGAAAAGAACCCCGGCGAGGGGAGUGAAAAAGAACCUGAAACCGUGUACGUACAAGCAGUGGGAGCACGCUUAGGCGUGUGACUGCGUACCUUUUGUAUAAUGGGUCAGCGACUUAUAUUCUGUAGCAAGGUUAACCGAAUAGGGGAGCCGAAGGGAAACCGAGUCUUAACUGGGCGUUAAGUUGCAGGGUAUAGACCCGAAACCCGGUGAUCUAGCCAUGGGCAGGUUGAAGGUUGGGUAACACUAACUGGAGGACCGAACCGACUAAUGUUGAAAAAUUAGCGGAUGACUUGUGGCUGGGGGUGAAAGGCCAAUCAAACCGGGAGAUAGCUGGUUCUCCCCGAAAGCUAUUUAGGUAGCGCCUCGUGAAUUCAUCUCCGGGGGUAGAGCACUGUUUCGGCAAGGGGGUCAUCCCGACUUACCAACCCGAUGCAAACUACGAAUACCGGAGAAUGUUAUCACGGGAGACACACGGCGGGUGCUAACGUCCGUCGUGAAGAGGGAAACAACCCAGACCGCCAGCUAAGGUCCCAAAGUCAUGGUUAAGUGGGAAACGAUGUGGGAAGGCCCAGACAGCCAGGAUGUUGGCUUAGAAGCAGCCAUCAUUUAAAGAAAGCGUAAUAGCUCACUGGUCGAGUCGGCCUGCGCGGAAGAUGUAACGGGGCUAAACCAUGCACCGAAGCUGCGGCAGCGACGCUUAUGCGUUGUUGGGUAGGGGAGCGUUCUGUAAGCCUGCGAAGGUGUGCUGUGAGGCAUGCUGGAGGUAUCAGAAGUGCGAAUGCUGACAUAAGUAACGAUAAAGCGGGUGAAAAGCCCGCUCGCCGGAAGACCAAGGGUUCCUGUCCAACGUUAAUCGGGGCAGGGUGAGUCGACCCCUAAGGCGAGGCCGAAAGGCGUAGUCGAUGGGAAACAGGUUAAUAUUCCUGUACUUGGUGUUACUGCGAAGGGGGGACGGAGAAGGCUAUGUUGGCCGGGCGACGGUUGUCCCGGUUUAAGCGUGUAGGCUGGUUUUCCAGGCAAAUCCGGAAAAUCAAGGCUGAGGCGUGAUGACGAGGCACUACGGUGCUGAAGCAACAAAUGCCCUGCUUCCAGGAAAAGCCUCUAAGCAUCAGGUAACAUCAAAUCGUACCCCAAACCGACACAGGUGGUCAGGUAGAGAAUACCAAGGCGCUUGAGAGAACUCGGGUGAAGGAACUAGGCAAAAUGGUGCCGUAACUUCGGGAGAAGGCACGCUGAUAUGUAGGUGAAGUCCCUCGCGGAUGGAGCUGAAAUCAGUCGAAGAUACCAGCUGGCUGCAACUGUUUAUUAAAAACACAGCACUGUGCAAACACGAAAGUGGACGUAUACGGUGUGACGCCUGCCCGGUGCCGGAAGGUUAAUUGAUGGGGUUAGCGCAAGCGAAGCUCUUGAUCGAAGCCCCGGUAAACGGCGGCCGUAACUAUAACGGUCCUAAGGUAGCGAAAUUCCUUGUCGGGUAAGUUCCGACCUGCACGAAUGGCGUAAUGAUGGCCAGGCUGUCUCCACCCGAGACUCAGUGAAAUUGAACUCGCUGUGAAGAUGCAGUGUACCCGCGGCAAGACGGAAAGACCCCGUGAACCUUUACUAUAGCUUGACACUGAACAUUGAGCCUUGAUGUGUAGGAUAGGUGGGAGGCUUUGAAGUGUGGACGCCAGUCUGCAUGGAGCCGACCUUGAAAUACCACCCUUUAAUGUUUGAUGUUCUAACGUUGACCCGUAAUCCGGGUUGCGGACAGUGUCUGGUGGGUAGUUUGACUGGGGCGGUCUCCUCCUAAAGAGUAACGGAGGAGCACGAAGGUUGGCUAAUCCUGGUCGGACAUCAGGAGGUUAGUGCAAUGGCAUAAGCCAGCUUGACUGCGAGCGUGACGGCGCGAGCAGGUGCGAAAGCAGGUCAUAGUGAUCCGGUGGUUCUGAAUGGAAGGGCCAUCGCUCAACGGAUAAAAGGUACUCCGGGGAUAACAGGCUGAUACCGCCCAAGAGUUCAUAUCGACGGCGGUGUUUGGCACCUCGAUGUCGGCUCAUCACAUCCUGGGGCUGAAGUAGGUCCCAAGGGUAUGGCUGUUCGCCAUUUAAAGUGGUACGCGAGCUGGGUUUAGAACGUCGUGAGACAGUUCGGUCCCUAUCUGCCGUGGGCGCUGGAGAAUUGAGGGGGGCUGCUCCUAGUACGAGAGGACCGGAGUGGACGCAUCACUGGUGUUCGGGUUGUCAUGCCAAUGGCACUGCCCGGUAGCUAAAUGCGGAAGAGAUAAGUGCUGAAAGCAUCUAAGCACGAAACUUGCCCCGAGAUGAGUUCUCCCUGACUCCUUGAGAGUCCUGAAGGAACGUUGAAGACGACGACGUUGAUAGGCCGGGUGUGUAAGCGCAGCGAUGCGUUGAGCUAACCGGUACUAAUGAACCGUGAGGCUUAACCUU
RNAcentral lists this ribosomal RNA (2902 nucleotides) under Escherichia coli. RNAcentral's name for it is "bacterial LSU rRNA". It matches the Rfam family "Bacterial large subunit ribosomal RNA". The record is from RNAcentral. Lineage: Bacteria; Pseudomonadati; Pseudomonadota; Gammaproteobacteria; Enterobacterales; Enterobacteriaceae.